AUACGUAGGGAGCGAGCGUUGUCCGGAAUUACUGGGUGUAAAGGGAGCGUAGGCGGGACAGCAAGUUGGAUGUUUAACAUAUCGGCUCAACCGAUAUCUGCAUCCAAAACUGCAGUUCUUGAGUGAAGUAGAGGCAGGCGGAAUUCCUAGUGUAGCGGUGAAAUGCGUAGAUAUUAGGAGGAACACCAGUGGCGAAGGCGGUCUGCUGGGCUUUAACUGACGCUGAGGCUCGAAAGCGUGGGGAGCAAACAGGAUUAGAUACCCUGGUAGUCCACGCUGUAAACGAUGAUUACUAGGUGUGGGGGGACUGACCCCUUCCGUGCCGCAGUUAACACAAUAAGUAAUCCACCUGGGGAGUACGGCCGCAAGGCUGAA
Molecule: ribosomal RNA, 375 nt
Filed under: uncultured bacterium
Lineage: Bacteria
Description: bacterial SSU rRNA
Rfam family: Bacterial small subunit ribosomal RNA
Source: RNAcentral